Triticum dicoccoides is the source of this 1648-nucleotide long non-coding RNA. RefSeq lists it as uncharacterized. Lineage: Eukaryota; Viridiplantae; Streptophyta; Magnoliopsida; Poales; Poaceae. The record is from RefSeq and is a predicted model, not a curated record. The transcript is spliced from 5 exons.
ACUUUCCCCAGGAUUUUGAAUUAUUUCCUUUAAUAAGAUCUUGGUCUGAUGUGUAGUGACGCUUCUCGAUACCGACAACGCUGCUUCCUUCCAAUGAAGACGGUGUUAUUGUUCAAGAUAUUGUAUCUCUCUGCAUCGUCGAAGCUGCACACAGCUGAGUUAUUUCCAAUUAUCUAUAUAAAUCACAAUGGAAGAAGAAGAGUGGAGGGAAUGUCAAUGCGGCUUCAUGAGCAUCUAUCGAUGUGCUAAAUGACCGGUGGAGCUGCUCCUCCAUGUUUGGCCACGGAGAGAGACGCGGUGGUAGCACACACCCGCCCACUCUUCCACAAGAGAUCAACUCACCACUGUAUUAAGGUGAAGCACAAACAGCCCCCAUCCUCGCCGUAUUUGGCCCUCUCAAGCAGAUUUUGUUUCUGUACGCCUACAAGAUGUUCGAUGAAAGUUCCAGAAGGCCGGAGGGGAUGAGUGAUCUAUGUAAGCCAUGUGAUUUCAUUCUUCAAAAAAUUAGUUCCAGUCAAUCAUAAGUUAUAACAAGAUGAAUUUCAUGACCUAUAAUCUCCAAAUGGUCUUCACAUGAUGUACUCGAAUGACUUCUUAUAUCUUACCUUCAGACUUUUAUUCAAUCUUGGUAUAUUUACAAUCUCCAGUUUCAUUAGUCGUUUCAGACCAAAAACAAUGUCAUGUUCUUGUUCCUGAUUUAAUAGUCCAUCAGAUUAAUGCUUUCUUUGUAGAUAAUAAAGUACUUCCAGGUGAAGUUGUGUGUUAUAUGUGCUCAUGCUUGCCCAUGCUAAAUUCUCUCCUCUCGGUAAAACUAUGAUUGCUUUAUUCCUAGAUAUCUUGGUUAGCAUCACACCUACUUUCAGAAUUCACGGUGCAUGAUGGAUGCAAGUUUUUUUUUCAUGUAUUCACUGUGUACUCAUUAAUUGCUACUUGAAUAGUCACUGUGCACUUAGAUAACCAUUGAUGGUUGAUCUUGUUAAGUACAUAUGCUACCCCUCGUUUGUUUAUAUUGCUAGCUGAGAUAGGAUUACAGUUUAUUUGCUUAAUUAUUGGCCGCGUUUACUUAGAUAAUUCAUUGAUGGUUGAUCUUGUUAGCUACAGAUGCUACCCCCUGUUCUGAACAAGCUUUAAUUUUGGUGGACUAACCCCAGUUUGACGUAGUUGCUGGUCAUCAACAAAAAGCUGACCACAUAAUCCUGUAUUUUAUUUCAAAGACGCAAAGUAUCAAGCAUCAAGAGAGGUUAAAUCGAAUAGUAUAUUGCCUUAACCAGUGGGCUAAUGCAAACAUAAAAGUGUGGUAGUUAAAUUCAACAUACAAAUUUUUGAAAUCUUAUUUCCCAAUGUUCAACUGCAGACUGGGUUUAGAUUGUUUUCAUGCCAGAAAUGAAACAGGUAAAAUGAUAUAACCUCAGUAGCAUAUGGUCUAAAUUUCUUAAAGAAGGUCGUCUAAUAUUUUACUUAGGUUUGUUCACAGAUCUGUAACUGAUAUGUAUGUAUUUCUUGUGCGUUGACACCCUGUUAAUUUUAUAUCUGUGUGAUAUGAAUUACUAGCAGAGAAAUUUUUCAUGCUUUUAAGUAUUAUCGAUAUUCACUACUUAGGAUGUUAGUUGUGGCUUCAUUUAAAUUUUACCAUUGAGCUUGGAUUGUG